CCCGUGCACGCGUUCGAUAGAAAAAAAAUACCCAUCCCCAAUUCGUGCGGCCGCGCACCCCACCGAUGGAUCCGCCGCUCCCCCCCGCCGCCGGCACGCCAUCAUCCGCCGCGCCGUCCUCCCCGCACCCUGGCCUGUCUCCUCUCCGCCGCGCCCUCCUCCCCGCGUCGUCCGAGUCCUCCAGGCGCGGUUCGCCGAAGGCGAGGCCCAGGCCGCCGCGCUCCUGGCCCGCGCCGGCCGGUUCGAGCGCACGCCGCCGACCGCGACCAGCUGCUCAUCACGCUCCUCUCCGCCGCGGGAAACGGCCGGGAGGAGGAGGACGCGCGGGAGGCGGGGCAGCGUCCGAUCCGGCCGAGGCUUACAGCGACACGGACGCGGAGGCUCUGGCCGCGGUCGCUGCGCUCCCUCCGUUCACUACCUUCCCGAUGGCUUUCUCUGUUCAAUUGCUUAAUUUGGUUGUCUUGUCUUACCUGAACUGCAAGGGAACCAACAUACAUGGCAUGAUGGAUGGAGAUCAAUAGAUGUUUUUUUGUUCUGUUCACAUGCUUUCUAAUAGUUUCCAUAGGAUUAUAGGCAUGAGCUUUGAACAAUAGGCAUAAAUCUGUUGUAAUCAAUCAAAGGCAGUGAAAACGUUUACUAAAAUCUUUAGAUGUGGGGAUCCUCUGAAUUGCUUUGAUUGAACGUCCAACGGGGAUCUCAUCUUAUAGUAACUCUGAAACAUUGUAUUGGUAGUUUUUAUCUUUACACUUUUGCCUUCUGUACAUACUGGAUUGCAUUGUUUAGGACAUGACACAGCGCUGCAAGCAGCUCAUGAGAGUAGUUUGCAAACGCAAAUCAUUGUAUAUGUCACUUAUGCUUCUCUUAAUAGAAAAUAGUACUAUUUUGGAGAAGGGCAUCUGGCUGACUUUCAAUAAAACUCUUCAGGUUUUGUUUGGUGAGAUUCUCUUUAGAAAACAAGAUUUGUAUUGGUGGUAGAUCGACAGCAACUGACAGCAUCUUCGUCAUCCGCGGUGGCAGUGCCGUCCGCGCGGAAUGCCUUCUGUGGCCGCGCCUCCGCCACCAACACCGCCACGCAGCCAAUGAUGUCGGCAUGUGGUGAAAAAAGGGCCCAAGUGAAAGGUCGACCAAGCUGUAAAAAUUCAGUGAGAGGAAUUUUUGUGCUCACAGCUCACACCAUGGCGUCCGUUGCCUCUGUUCUUACUUUAUUAUUUUGUUUUUCCCUUCGUCGAUUUUUCAUGUCGCCUGACAAGAACAAGAAUUGCAAAGAAGAAGUGAAAAGAAAACACAGAACAAAGGAUGAACGCCGGAGAGCACUCCUAUAUAAUUUCCCCCCAAAAUAUGAUGGGCAGUGGUGUGCUUGUUUGCAUUGAUCGCAUGGUGGCCAGCACUUCACCACACAUCUGACGGCGACUGUUUUAUCCAAGAGGUGGAGGAUAGGAGAAGCGCAUCUCUUAAAUUCACAGUUUUGAACCUAAAGAGACACAUCUAGAAAAUGAUUGCACGAGUGGUUCCAGUGUCAUGUACGUCAACAUGGUUGGAGAUUUGGGAUCGGAUGCUGCGCCAAGAGCGAGGGACCGAGGUGCUGAACUAACAGCAGGGGGGAGGGUGAUUCUUCAGUCCACCUAGGGAGCUGCACAAAUUUGGAACAACUUCCAGAACAGGCAUCCAAGCAUUUUGGUCUGCUACCAGUAAGCUGCCAGAGCAAGAUAGCUGGGAGUCUGGGAUGUCGAGUCGUCGAGCCGUCCAAUGCCAAGUUCGCCGGCGGAAGGAGAACAUCCGUCAAGCCGUCCGUCGCCUGAGGCGGCUACACCAGAGGUCCGUGGGUUACUACUCCUUUGCUCUUGCUGGCGACCGGCCUCCAGAGUAGCACUUGCUUGAGAUCUGAUCUAGAACUGAAUUGUGCCCUGCUUUGCUGUGGUCGUAUGCUCUGUGUCCACCGAUGAGUUUCAGAUACAGAAUAGGACCAAAAUUGGAGUAGGUUCAGUCGCGCAAAUGUUGUAUCACUUUGUCAUGGGUAUUGUGCUGCUAAAUUGCUUGUUGGAUUGUUCAAACUAAAGUCAUCCAGUCAGUUUGCUACAAUGUUCAUUUGUUUACUUCGGAAGUUCUUGGGCCUGAUCACUUUCGAAUUUGUCUAUGGUUUGAGAUUAAUCUUUCCGAGAUGUUAGAGAGUGGGUCCAAGGAUGGAUCUGCCCAUCAGUGUGCAGAGGAUCUUCUAAUUCCUGCAGCUAAUCUUGAUUCAUGGAUAUUGUGUUUGCUCUGUGGCGCAUUAUGUUUCAGUUUAUUUUUUCUGAAAAAUUGGCGCUACUUCUGAUUGCUCACAAUUUAAGUUUUGCUGAUAUACACUGGAGGCAUUAAACCAACAACUUUCUCUGUUUUUUAUGCGUGCUACUACAAAUACAAGGACACAUCUUACAAACACACGGCUUCCGCUGGCUUGGCUAGCUUUGUACGUCCACUUUGCGCUACAAGUCGCCUUUCUAUGCUGUCUUACAAUCUCGUAGUACAGACCGUGCUCCACCUGAGGUUGGAGCAUAAGAA
This is a non-coding RNA of Triticum urartu, 2538 nucleotides long. The record is from RefSeq and is a predicted model, not a curated record. Lineage: Eukaryota; Viridiplantae; Streptophyta; Magnoliopsida; Poales; Poaceae.